UAUCAUGCAGUCGAACGGCAGCACGAGAGAGCUUGCUCUCUUGGUGGCGAGUGGCAGAGGGGAGAGUAAUAUAUCGGAACGUGCCCAGUAACGGGGGAUAACUACUCGAAAGAGUGGCUAAUACCGCAUACACCCUACGGGGGAAAGGGGGGGAUCGCAAGACCUCUCCCUAUUGGACCGGCCGAUAUCGGAUUAGCUAGUUGGUGGGGUAAAGGCUCACCAAGGCAACGAUCCGUAGCUGGUUUGAGAGGACGACCAGCCACACUGGGACUGAGACACGGCCCACACUCCUACGGGAGGCACCAGUGGGGAAUUUUGGACAAUGGGGGAAACCCUGAUCCAGCCAUCCCGCGUGUAUGAUGAAAGCCUUCGGGUUGUCAAGUACUUUUGGCAGAGAAGAAAAGGCAUCCCCUAAUACGGGAUGCUGCUGACGGUAUCUGCAGAAUAAGCACCGGCUAACUACGUGCCCUACCCGCGGUAAUACGUAGGGUGCAAGCGUUAAUCGGAAUUACUGGGAAUUAUUGCGUGUGUAGGCGGUUCGGAAAGAAAGAUGUGAAAUCCCAGGGCUCAACCUUGGAACUGCAUUUUUAGCUGCUGAGCUAGGUAUGUCAGAGUGGGGUAGAAUUCCACGUGUUGCAGUGAAAUGCGUAGAUAUGUGGAGGAAUACCGAUGGCGAAGGCAGCCCCCUGGGAUAAUACUGACGCUCAGAACGAAAGCGUGGGGAGCAAACAGGAUUAGAUACCCUGGUAGUCCACGCCCUAAACGAUGUCAACUAGCUGUUGGGGCCGUUAGGCCUUAGUAGCGCAGCUAACGCGUGAAGUUGACCGCCAUGGGGAGUACGGUCGCAAGAUUAAAGCUCAAACUCAUUUUACAUUUGACCCGCCCACCCGCCGGCAUGAUGUGGAUUAGUUUUAUAUUUCGUGGAAAGCCCCACCAACUCUUAACCGUUGGUGGGGCGGA
Molecule: ribosomal RNA, 960 nt
Filed under: Alcaligenes sp. CKCr-6A
Lineage: Bacteria; Pseudomonadati; Pseudomonadota; Betaproteobacteria; Burkholderiales; Alcaligenaceae
Description: bacterial SSU rRNA
Rfam family: Bacterial small subunit ribosomal RNA
Source: RNAcentral